GAUGAACGCUGGCGGCGUGCCUAAUACAUGCAAGUCGAGCGAACAGAUGAGGAGCUUGCUCCUCUGACGUUAGCGGCGGACGGGUGAGUAACACGUGGAUAACCUACCUAUAAGACUGGGAUAACUUCGGGAAACCGGAGCUAAUACCGGAUAAUAUAUUGAACCGCAUGGUUCAAUAGUGAAAGACGGUUUUGCUGUCACUUAUAGAUGGAUCCGCGCCGCAUUAGCUAGUUGGUAAGGUAACGGCUUACCAAGGCAACGAUGCGUAGCCGACCUGAGAGGGUGAUCGGCCACACUGGAACUGAGACACGGUCCAGACUCCUACGGGAAGCAGCAGUAGGGAAUCUUCCGCAAUGGGCGAAAGCCUGACGGAGCAACGCCGCGUGAGUGAUGAAGGUCUUCGGAUCGUAAAACUCUGUUAGUAGGGAAGAACAAAUGUGUAAGUAACUAUGCACGUCUUGACGGUACCUAAUCAGAAAGCCACGGCUAACUACGUG
This 497-nucleotide ribosomal RNA is filed under the name uncultured bacterium. Its description in RNAcentral is "partial 16S ribosomal RNA". It matches the Rfam family "Bacterial small subunit ribosomal RNA", at positions 28 to 507 of the family's 1533-position model. The record is from RNAcentral.